CCUACGGGUGACAGCAGUGGGGAAUAUUGCACAAUGGGGGGAACCCUGAUGCAGCGACGCCGCGUGGGUGAAGAAGCAUCUCGGCAUGUAAAGCCCUUUCAGCAGGGAAGAAAAUGACGGUACCUGACGAAGAAGCCCCGGCUAACUACGUGCCAGCAGCCGCGGUAAUACGUAGGGGGCCAGCGUUAUCCGGAUUUACUGGGUGUAAAGGGGGCGUAGACGGCUUUGCAAGUCAGGAGUGAAAGCCCGGGGCUCAACCACGGGACUGCUUUUGAAACUGCGGGGCUGGAGUGCAGGAGAGGCAGGCGGAAUUCCUGGUGUAGCGGUGAAAUGCGUAGAUAUCAGGAGGAACACCGGUGGCGAAGGCGGCCUGCUGGACAGUAACUGACGUUGAGGCUCGAAAGCGUGGGGAGCAAACAGGAUUAGAUACCCCGGUAGUC
RNAcentral lists this ribosomal RNA (440 nucleotides) under uncultured bacterium. RNAcentral's name for it is "partial 16S ribosomal RNA". It matches the Rfam family "Bacterial small subunit ribosomal RNA", at positions 338 to 795 of the family's 1533-position model. The record is from RNAcentral.